AGUGAACGCUGGCGGUAGGCCUAACACAUGCAAGUCGAACGGCAGCACAGUAAGAGCUUGCUCUUACGGGUGGCGAGUGGCGUACGGGUGAGGAGUACAUCGGAAUCUACUUUUUCGUGGGGGUUCACGUAGGGAAACUUACGCUAAUACCGCAUACGACCUACGAGUGAAAGCAGGGGAACUUCUCCCCUUGCGCGACUGAAUUAGCCGAUGUCGGAUUAGCUAGUUGGCGGGGUAAUGGCCCAACAAGGCGGGGAUCCGUAGCGGGUCUGAGAGGAUGAUCAGCCACACGGGAACGGAGACAGGGUCCCGACUCCUGGGGUAGGCAGCAGUGGGGAAUAUUAGACAAUGGGGGAGAGCCUGAUACAGCCAUACGGCGUGGGUGAAGAAGGCGUUCCGGUUGGAAAGCCCUUUUGUUGGGAAAGAAAAGCAGCAGGUUAAUACGCCGCUGUACUGACGGUACCCAAAGAAUAAGCACCGGCUAACUUCGUG
This 492-nucleotide ribosomal RNA is filed under the name uncultured bacterium. RNAcentral's name for it is "partial 16S ribosomal RNA". It matches the Rfam family "Bacterial small subunit ribosomal RNA", at positions 29 to 507 of the family's 1533-position model. The record is from RNAcentral.